AAGUCUGGUAGACCUGAAGCUGGUGCCCCGCAACGGAGCCAGUUAGGGUAGAACAGGUAACUGGGGCUAAGUCGUAACAAGGUAGCCGUACCGGAAGGUGCGGCUGGAUCACCUCCUUUCUGGAGC
Molecule: ribosomal RNA, 126 nt
Filed under: Hymenobacter edaphi
Lineage: Bacteria; Pseudomonadati; Bacteroidota; Cytophagia; Cytophagales; Hymenobacteraceae
Description: Hymenobacter sp. NL partial 16S ribosomal RNA
Rfam family: Bacterial small subunit ribosomal RNA
Source: RNAcentral